UACGUAGGUGGCAAGCGUUGUCCGGAAUUAUUGGGCGUAAAGCGCGCGCAGGCGGUCUUUUAAGUCUGAUGUGAAAGCCCCCGGCUCAACCGGGGAGGGUCAUCGGAAACUGGGAGACUUGAGUGCAGAAGAGGAGAGUGGAAUUCCACGUGUAGCGGUGAAAUGCGUAGAUAUGUGGAGGAACACCAGUGGCGAAGGCGACUUUCUGGUCUGUAACUGACACUGAAGCGCGAAAGCAUGGGGAGCGAACAGG
This 253-nucleotide unclassified non-coding RNA is filed under the name uncultured Bacillaceae bacterium. RNAcentral describes it as "contains 16S-23S intergenic spacer region". It matches the Rfam family "Bacterial small subunit ribosomal RNA", at positions 524 to 776 of the family's 1533-position model. Lineage: Bacteria; Bacillati; Bacillota; Bacilli; Caryophanales; Bacillaceae. The record is from RNAcentral.